This 457-nucleotide ribosomal RNA is filed under the name uncultured bacterium. RNAcentral's name for it is "bacterial SSU rRNA". It matches the Rfam family "Bacterial small subunit ribosomal RNA", at positions 30 to 507 of the family's 1533-position model. The record is from RNAcentral.
UUGAACGCUGGCGGCACGCCUAACACAUGCAAGUCGAACGGCAGCACGGAGAGUAGCAAUACUUUUGGGUGGCGAGUGGCGGACGGGUGAGUAACGCGUAGGAAUCUACCCUAGAGAUGAGGAUAACUUGGGGAAACUCAAGCUAAUACUGAAUACGCCCGUUCGGGGGAAAGAUUUAUCGGCAAAGGAUCGGCCCGCGUUGGAUUAGGUAGUUGGUGGGGUAAUGGCCUACCAAGCCGACGAUCCAUAGCUUGGUUUGAGAGGAUGAUCAGCCACACUGGGACUGAGACACCGGCCCAGACUCCUACGGGGAGGCAGCAGGUGGGGAAUCUUAGACAAUGGGGGCAACCCUGAUCUAGCCAUGCCGCGUGAGUGAUGAAGGCCCUAGGGUUGUAAAGCUCUUUCAGCUGGGAAGAUAAUGACGGUACCAGCAGAAGAAGCCCCGGCUAACUCCGUG